GCAACUCGCCUGCAUGAAGCUGGAAUUGCUAGUAAUCGCGGAUCAGCAAGCCGCGGUGAAUACGUUCCCGGGCCUUGUACACACCGCCCGUCACACCAUGAGAGUCGGGAACACCCGAAGUCCGUAGUCUAACCGCAAGGAGGACGCAGUCGAAGGUGGGUCUGAUAAUUGGGGUGAAGUCGUAACAAGGUAUC
RNAcentral lists this ribosomal RNA (194 nucleotides) under uncultured bacterium. RNAcentral's name for it is "partial 16S ribosomal RNA". It matches the Rfam family "Bacterial small subunit ribosomal RNA", at positions 1307 to 1500 of the family's 1533-position model. The record is from RNAcentral.